RNAcentral lists this ribosomal RNA (422 nucleotides) under uncultured bacterium. RNAcentral's name for it is "bacterial SSU rRNA". It matches the Rfam family "Bacterial small subunit ribosomal RNA", at positions 355 to 774 of the family's 1533-position model. The record is from RNAcentral.
UGAGGAAUAUUGGGCAAUGCCCGCAAGGGUGACCCAACAACGCCGCGUGGAGGAUGAAUGUCGUAAGAUUGUAAACUCCUGUUAGAGGGGAAGAAUAGUACCGGUUGGACCGGUAUAUGACUGUACCCUCAGAGAAAGCCCCGGCUAACUACGUGCCAGCAGCCGCGGUAAUACGUAGGGGGCAAGCGUUGUCCGGAUUUACUGGGUGUAAAGGGCGCGCAGGCGGGAUAAAAAGUCAGUGGUGAAAUCCUACAGCUUAACUGUAGAACUGCCUUUGAUACUUUUAUUCUUGAGUUCGGGAGAGAGAGACGGAAUUCCAGGUGUAGUGGUGAAAUACGUAGAUAUCUGGAAGAACACCAGUUGCGAAGGCGGUCUCUUGGUCCGACACUGACGCUGAGGCGCGAAAGCGUGGGGAGCAAACA